GUUAUCAGCAAGGAGACGCUGGGGAGAUGAAAGCAGUCUCAAUCAACAAACUAUGUUGAUUGAUUAACUGCCGUGCAGGCCAAAAGGGCCGCGGUGUCCCGCUGGUCUGUAUGAAAUGAGUGCACUUGUUUAAAAUGACAUUCCGUCACUGGUGUUCAAGCAGCAGCGGAGAGUGCGUGAGAAAGAAAGGGACUCCGGACUGGUCUACCCUCCCCCUGCUUCUGCCGCCGUUACAUGUACCGCAAUAAUAAAAGCCUCCUUUUAUUUGAA
Long non-coding RNA from Pseudophryne corroboree (corroboree frog), 270 nucleotides. RefSeq lists it as uncharacterized. The transcript is spliced from 2 exons. NCBI's taxonomy places the organism in Eukaryota, Metazoa, Chordata, Amphibia, Anura, Myobatrachidae. The record is from RefSeq and is a predicted model, not a curated record.